This 466-nucleotide ribosomal RNA is filed under the name uncultured bacterium. RNAcentral's name for it is "partial 16S ribosomal RNA". It matches the Rfam family "Bacterial small subunit ribosomal RNA", at positions 28 to 507 of the family's 1533-position model. The record is from RNAcentral.
GACGAACGCUGGCGGUGUGCUUAACACAUGCAAGUCGAACGGUAAGGCCCUUUCGGGGGUACACGAGUGGCGAACGGGUGAGUAACACGUGAGUAACCUGCCCUCAUCUCUGGGAUAACAGCCGGAAACGGUUGCUAAUACUGGAUAUGAGCUUGCAAGGCAUCUUGUGGGUUGGAAAGAUUUUUUUGGUUGGGGAUGGACUCGCGGCCUACCAGCUUGUUGGUGAGGUAGUGGCUCACCAAGGCUUCGACGGGUAGCCGGCCUGAGAGGGCGACCGGCCACAUUGGGACUGAGAUACGGCCCAAACUCCUACGGGAGGCAGCAGUGGGGAAUAUUGCACAAUGGACGGAAGUCUGAUGCAGCAACGCCGCGUGCGGGAUGACGGCCUUCGGGUUGUAAACCGCUUUCAAUUGUGACGAAGCUUUUUGUGACGGUAGCAGUAGAAGAAGCACCGGCUAACUACGUG